UCACAUCUGUUUCUGAAACCAGACUUUGUUAAUUAACAGUUUUAAAAUAUUAAUUAGUUUUGACAUCUUGUAAAUUUUAGGUCAAAAAUACAGUCCAGAACUUCCUCAAAGUGCUAACCUUAAGUAACAUAACAGUGUUUGCCUGUUUGCUUGCCUGGUAAAUUUUGCUUUUUAUACUGACAGACAUUACUAAUGUUUAAGUUGAUUUAUCAACAGUAUUUUUAAAAACUCAAAUUUGUCUUGUGAAAAAUGAGAUGAUUAGAGGAACAGAAAGAAAGCAACAGGUAAAGAAUUCUUCAAUUUACAUAAAUUACAAAUGAUUUGGUGCUAAAUUUAUGCACUAUGACAUUUGGCUUUUAUGCAAUCAUUUUUUUUUCUUUAAAGAUGUUAACACUACCUGAUAUUAAUCAUAAUGUUCCAUUAUGUUGAUUGCUUGUAAUAGGAAGAAAAGGGGUGUCUUCCUGUGCAACUGACACAGCUAGGCUUUGACGGCAGGCCUCCACAAGUACUAUGGACUACAAAUUUUGGAAAAUGUGAUAAAAACAAGGUGGAAGAUUCUUCCAAGGAACCAGUGCGAAGGAAUAAAAAAAUACGUUGUUG
Molecule: long non-coding RNA, 600 nt
Filed under: Homo sapiens (human)
Lineage: Eukaryota; Metazoa; Chordata; Mammalia; Primates; Hominidae
Description: non-protein coding lnc-USP34-6:4
Source: RNAcentral